GUGUCAGCCGCCGCGGUAAUACGGAGGAUCCGAGCGUUAUCCGGAUUUAUUGGGUUUAAAGGGUGCGUAGGCGGGGCAUCAAGUCAGUGGUGAAAUGGUGUGGCUCAACCAUAGCAUUGCCGUUGAAACUGAUACCCUUGAGUGCAGUAGAGGUAUGCGGAAUGUGUUGUGUAGCGGUGAAAUGCAUAGAUAUGACACAGAACACCGAUUGCGAAGGCAGCAUACUGGACUGUAACUGACGCUGAAGCACGAAAGCGUGGGGAUCGAACAGGAUUAGAUACCCUGGUAGUCCACGCAGUAAACGAUGAUUACUAGCUGUUAGCGAUAUAGUGUUAGUGGCUAAGGGAAACCGAUAAGUAAUCCACCUGGGGAGUACGUUCGCAAGAAUGAA
This 391-nucleotide ribosomal RNA is filed under the name uncultured bacterium. RNAcentral describes it as "bacterial SSU rRNA". It matches the Rfam family "Bacterial small subunit ribosomal RNA", at positions 505 to 898 of the family's 1533-position model. The record is from RNAcentral.